CAUGGCAGGUCUAACCACAGCUCUAUAAAAUUUCCCCUUAAGUUUCUGUGGAACUUUCUUGUCACACAGGACUCCUGAUGCAAGCCUCCACUUAACCACCCCGCUCCUAUACGAUGAGUAACGUCCCCGUCAAUCUCCUCGUCCCCCUGAAUCACCGACCCAAGAUAUCUGACACUGUCCCUCUUGACGAUGACCUGGGAUCCAAUCAUCAUGUCCAUGCCUACCUCGCUCGGCUCGGCGCUAAACUUGCAUUCCAGGUAUUCCGUCUUAGAUCUGCUUAUUUUGAAACCCUUAGAUUCGAGAAUCCGUCUCCAUACCUCUAACAUCUCAAUAACACCGACCCUCGUCUCAUCUAUCAAGACUAUAUCAUCGGCAAAUAACAUACACCAAGGCACAUCCCCUUGAAUAUGUCGGGUUAGAGCAUCUAUCACUAAUGCAAACAAGAGGGGGCUCAGCGCCGAUCCUUGAUGGAGCCCCAUUAUCACAGGAAAAUGGCCUAAUUCGCCACCCACNNNNNNNNNNNNNNNNNNNNNNNNNNNNNNNNNCCUUGAAUAUGUCGGGUUAGAGCAUCCAUCACCAAGGCAAACAAGAGAGGGCUAAGCGCCGAUCCUUGAUGGAGCCCCAUAACCACCGGAAAAUGGUCGGAAUCGCCACCCGCCGUCCUAACCCUAGUCUUAGCUUCAUCGUACAUGUCCUUGAUUACUCCGAUGUAGGCUUCCGGCACGCUCUUCGCCUCCAAGUGCUAGACUCCCUACUUUUCGAAUUCUGAAUAUAGGAGUACUCAUGGAAAAAGGCCACACUCUUUC
Molecule: long non-coding RNA, 806 nt
Filed under: Nicotiana benthamiana
Lineage: Eukaryota; Viridiplantae; Streptophyta; Magnoliopsida; Solanales; Solanaceae
Description: long non-coding RNA (NBEN_LNC019651)
Source: RNAcentral